UUUGGCCAGAAGAAUCCUCACAAAGUUAUAUCUUUUGGACUGACAAGUGACCAAAGAUCUACUUUUGAUACAUUCACAGGACCAAAUUCCUGCACAGUAUCCCCAAGACACUGUCUUUCUAUAAAGACAUUUAUUCGUUGCCUUGGAGUCAGAAACAAUGAAUUCUCGUUUUGCAAUGAAUCACUGACCUUUCUUGUUGUUCCAAGUUGUUGAUUGUCGGUGCUUCAGUGCUUUCUUGUGAUGCCUGGAUUUCCUCUGUUUCACUCUCAUACAACAAUUCUUGCUCAACUGGCUCUUCAAGUGCAUUUUGGAACGUAAAUUCUGAUUUUGACUGAACUUCCAACUACAUGAUUCUGGUGUUGUGAUGAUAAAGGUAGUUUCACGUAGCACUUUGAUGAGGUGUUCAUAUUGUUUGGAGUCUUAGAAAUGUCUGCUCAUAGUUUAUGUAAAACGGUUUUUUCGCUUUUUUCAAGCUGUUCGCUGUUGGAUAAAGAGUCUUGUCGAGAUAGUAGUCCUCAAAAACUUUUAUUUCACAGAUUGUUGCUGGGCAACCAAAUUUUUGACUGUUCUGCAAGUUUUGAUAUGUUUUGGUGGCGUAAUUGUGCUCAGAAGAUUUUUUUGUUUAUUUGCUCCUCCUCGCGAGUCCUAAAAGUGGUCAUUUUGCUUAGCCUGUUGAUUAAAAAUGUUAUAACUGUUUAAUCUAUCUCGUUGUAAUACAGCGUUUGAAAUCUGACCUUUUCUGAUCCAUGUAUGCAUUGCCUAGUUUAUGUGCUUUCUGUUGUAAAUGGAAAAUCGCAAUUGGUACAUUGCCGUUAUUAUCUUCGAAAACGGGUGAAGCUAUAAAAACACGUAGAGAUGAUGCUUAGGUCCGUUAGUACUUUUGUAAUAAUUAGCGCAAAUUAAAAUUUGUAAAGUAAA
This is a long non-coding RNA of Xenia sp. Carnegie-2017, 918 nucleotides long. RefSeq lists it as uncharacterized. Lineage: Eukaryota; Metazoa; Cnidaria; Anthozoa; Malacalcyonacea; Xeniidae. The transcript is spliced from 4 exons. The record is from RefSeq and is a predicted model, not a curated record.